This 562-nucleotide ribosomal RNA is filed under the name Corynebacterium confusum. RNAcentral's name for it is "bacterial SSU rRNA". It matches the Rfam family "Bacterial small subunit ribosomal RNA", at positions 56 to 633 of the family's 1533-position model. The record is from RNAcentral. Lineage: Bacteria; Bacillati; Actinomycetota; Actinomycetes; Mycobacteriales; Corynebacteriaceae. RNAcentral also lists the same sequence under 1 other name.
UGCAAGUCGAACGGAAAGGCCCGCUUGCGGGUACUCGAGUGGCGAACGGGUCAGUAACACGUGGGUGAUCUGCCCUGCACUUCGGGAUAAGCCUGGGAAACUGGGUCUAAUACCGGAUAGGACCGCAUCGUAGGUGGUGUGGUGGAAAGAUUUAUCGGUGCAGGAUGAGCUCGCGGCCUAUCAGCUGGUUGGUGGGGUAAUGGCCUACCAAGGCGUCGACGGGUAGCCGGCCUGAGAGGGUGGACGGCCACAUUGGGACUGAGAUACGGCCCAGACUCCUACGGGAGGCAGCAGUGGGGAAUCUUGCACAAUGGGCGGAAGCCUGAUGCAGCGACGCCGCGUGGGGGAUGACGGCCUUCGGGUUGUAAACUCCUUUCGCCAGGGACGAAGCCGUGAGGUGACGGUACCUGGAUAAGAAGCACCGGCUAACUACGUGCCAGCAGCCGCGGUAAUACGUAGGGUGCGAGCGUUGUCCGGAAUUACUGGGCGUAAAGAGCUCGUAGGUGGUUUGUCGCGUCGUCUGUGAAAUUCCGGGGCUUAACUCCGGGCGUGCAGGCGAUAC